This 813-nucleotide ribosomal RNA is filed under the name Cichlidogyrus cirratus. RNAcentral describes it as "partial large subunit ribosomal RNA". It matches the Rfam family "Eukaryotic large subunit ribosomal RNA", at positions 39 to 631 of the family's 3401-position model. The record is from RNAcentral. Lineage: Eukaryota; Metazoa; Platyhelminthes; Monogenea; Dactylogyridea; Ancyrocephalidae.
CAUAUCAGUAAGCGGAGGAAAAGAAACUAACCAGGAUUCUCCUAGUAACGGCGAGUGAACGGAGAUUAGCCCAUCACCGAAGCCUGCGUGUGUUUGCAUGCUAGGCAAUGUGGUGUUAAGGUGUGUACCUGGGAUCGUGUACCUACCCGAAGUCUAAAUCCGAUUGUGGCUUUGGAUUCAUUCCAUAGCGGGUGAAAGUCCCGUGCGGGUAGGACUAUUGCAAAUCGCACGGUCCUCAGAUGUGCAUGCUUUCGAGUCGGAUUGCUUGAGAAUGCAGUCCAAAGUGGGUGGUAAACUCCAUCCAAGGCUAAAUACUGGCACGAGUCCGAUAGUAGACAAGUACCGUGAGGGAAAGUUGAAAAGUACUCUGAAGAGAGAGUAAAUAGUACGUGAAGCCGAUUGCAGGGAAGCUGGUGGAGUCAAGCUUCGUGCUUGGUGGAUUGAUGCUGGGAGCAGGUGUGUGAUUUGGAUGUGAGGAUGGACAACUUGGAAUAAGUUGGGUGUGUUCUGAAUGCACUUCAAGUCAUUCCGGGUAGAGUGUUAUGAGCUGUCCUCGCUUUCCUACUCUCAGUGUUGUAUUCACCGCUGCACAGGCCACAGUCAGUAGGUGCAUGCGGUAUGAGGGCCUAACUGUGCUUCGGCGGGUGCAAGCUCGCCGGGUGCAGGAUGGCAGGUGCUGUCUUCGGGCCUUGUGUCUGUUGAUAGUUGUUGUGGUUUUGACCGGCUGGUCCUCAUACUGUAUUGUGCUUAUUGCCUAUGAGUGGCGUAGCUUCCUCGGAAGUUGCGCUCUGUAGAACUGUGGCUCUGAGUAGU